This 631-nucleotide ribosomal RNA is filed under the name Pseudomonas aeruginosa. Its description in RNAcentral is "partial 23S ribosomal RNA". It matches the Rfam family "Bacterial large subunit ribosomal RNA", at positions 1 to 684 of the family's 2925-position model. The record is from RNAcentral. Lineage: Bacteria; Pseudomonadati; Pseudomonadota; Gammaproteobacteria; Pseudomonadales; Pseudomonadaceae.
GGUCAAGUGAAGAAGCGCAUACGGUGGAUGCCUUGGCAGUCAGAGGCGAUGAAAGACGUGGUAGCCUGCGAAAAGCUUCGGGGAGUCGGCAAACAGACUUUGAUCCGGAGAUCUCUGAAUGGGGGAACCCACCUAGGAUAACCUAGGUAUCUUGUACUGAAUCCAUAGGUGCAAGAGGCGAACCAGGGGAACUGAAACAUCUAAGUACCCUGAGGAAAAGAAAUCAACCGAGAUUCCCUUAGUAGUGGCGAGCGAACGGGGAUUAGCCCUUAAGCUUCAUUGAUUUUAGCGGAACGCUCUGGAAAGUGCGGCCAUAGUGGGUGAUAGCCCCGUACGCGAAAGGAUCUUUGAAGUGAAAUCGAGUAGGACGGAGCACGAGAAACUUUGUCUGAACAUGGGGGGACCAUCCUCCAAGGCUAAAUACUACUGACUGACCGAUAGUGAACCAGUACCGUGAGGGAAAGGCGAAAAGAACCCCGGAGAGGGGAGUGAAAUAGAACCUGAAACCGUAUGCGUACAAGCAGUGGGAGCCUACUUGUUAGGUGACUGCGUACCUUUUGUAUAAUGGGUCAGCGACUUAUAUUCAGUGGCAAGCUUAACCGUAUAGGGUAGGCGUAGCGAAAGCGAGUCU